RNAcentral lists this ribosomal RNA (409 nucleotides) under uncultured microorganism. RNAcentral describes it as "bacterial SSU rRNA". It matches the Rfam family "Bacterial small subunit ribosomal RNA", at positions 509 to 917 of the family's 1533-position model. The record is from RNAcentral.
CAGCCGCCGCGGUAAUACGGAGGGCGCGAGCGUUGUCCGGAUUCACUGGGCGUAAAGCGGGUGUAGGCGGUCGGGUAAGUCGGACGUGAAAGCCCGGGGCUCAACCCCGGAAGGGCGUCCGAAACUGCUCGACUUGAGGGCGGGAGAGGGAAGUGGAAUUCCCGGUGUAGCGGUGAAAUGCGUAGAUAUCGGGAGGAACGCCGGUGGCGAAGGCGGCUUCCUGGCCCGUUACUGACGCUGAGGCACGAAAGCCAGGGGAGCGAACCGGAUUAGAUACCCGGGUAGUCCUGGCUGUAAACCAUGGGCGCUAGGUGUGGGUGGUGGUGAGCCAUCUGUGCCGAAGCUAACGCGUUAAGCGCCCCGCCUGGGGAGUACGGUCGCAAGGCUGAAACUUAAAGGAAUUGGCGGG